Molecule: long non-coding RNA, 1504 nt
Filed under: Fukomys damarensis (Damara mole-rat)
Lineage: Eukaryota; Metazoa; Chordata; Mammalia; Rodentia; Bathyergidae
Description: lncRNA (ENSFDAG00000025902.1)
Source: RNAcentral
GUUUCAUAUAGUGAUAUAUAUUACAUCAGUUGCGCAUAUCUUGCUUUUACAGACUGAUUAAAUAGCCGUUUUGAUUGUUAAACGUUUUUGAAAUUUUUGAACAUCGCAAGUGGUUUUAAAUACUCAGACUCUAGUUCUUCAGAAUCCUAUUAGGAUAGUGAAAUGCAAAAAUAAUUGAAGUAGUUUAACAUCAUGAGGUGUUUUUACAUGGUAAAUGGGGGAGGAAAAAGACUGAAAAUAUUCAACACUGGUUUAAAAUUAACAUCAUAGAUACUACAAGUUUUAGACUUAGAAGAAAAAGCAAAUAUCCCACGGGGAGAGAUCAGAUAACUUGUGGUUUAAAAUUUAAAGUAACCAGUGGCCAUUUUAACUUCACCAGUUUUUCUUGGAGGAGUUAAUUUUUAAUUGCUCAUAACUGUAAAAGAUUUCUACAUAGUCAAGGACAUUUUGGGAUGAUUACAGGCUUUAAAUGGUAAACUUUUCUUUGUUUUUGUUUGUUGCCUGGCAUCAAAACAGGAAAAAUAAAGGCAAGGUCAUGAUUUUAAAUCUGUCCAAACACCUGAAUUUUCCGUAUUUCUUUUAAAUCCUAAUGCAGUAAUCUCCAGUAUUUGCUAACACAUCCAAGAGAUAAAGAAAACAAAGAUUGAUAAAAUAAUAAAAAAAAAUUGUAGCCAUAAACGUACAGGUUGUGUGACUGUGAGCCUUCUCUGAAGUUUACCCAUAGAUGUAGUCUUUGGAAUAUUUUUUCAUUAUUUCAUCACACAAUCUUUGGCCAACAAAUACUUAAAAAUCAAAACAUUGAUGUCAUCUUUUUUUUUUUUUAAAGGUAACUUGCAAGAUUAAAAUUAAUUUGCUGGUGGUUCUGAACAAAUAUGUACGGCUGUUUUAUCCCAGGUCCAUUAUUUUGAAGACUGAGUUUUAUUCCUGAGGAUAAAGAAAGUGCUUGGAAAAGUCUGUUUUAUAUCGCAAAAGUGCGAAUCCCCAGACUGAUAGUAUGAAGGGCCUGUACAGUAUAGCAGACUUGGAAACACACCCAGUCAUCUUGAAGAGUCUCAAAAGGACCCUACCACUGAGAAAUCAAGAUGGCAGUCCACUAUGGGGAAUUGAGGAAAAUGGAUUAAUACAAGAGUGCUGUGAUAAAAUACCAUCAAGACAGGGUUGUUUUAACAUGGAUUCAGUGAAAUGAAUGAAACCUAUUUUAACCAACAAAUGGACAGUGGAUUUGACUUUCUAAAGACUUUUCUAAUAAUUUAAACCAGUUCAUUUUUGACAUUUGGAGAAGAUGGCACAUUAACACAGAUGGUAGUGUGUAUGCCUGAAAUAUUUUUUUUUGUACAUUUUGAUUUGUUUGAAUAUGACCUCAUGGAAUGUUAACGUUAAUAAAAUUUCUAACAUUUAAAAAAAUUUCAGUUUGGGCCUUUUUUUUUUCAAGUGGAAGUUUCAUUAAAUAUUCAAUUACCUCCAUAAUUGUUUGAUUCUUGCAGUUGUCCAAGCAGUAUACCCA